GACGAACGCUGGCGGCGUGCUUAACACAUGCAAGUCGAACGGAAAGGCCCUGCUUUUGUGGGGUGCUCGAGUGGCGAACGGGUGAGUAACACGUGAGUAACCUGCCCUUGACUUUGGGAUAACUUCAGGAAACUGGGGCUAAUACCGGAUAGGAGCUCCUGCUGCAUGGUGGGGGUUGGAAAGUUUCGGCGGUUGGGGAUGGACUCGCGGCUUAUCAGCUUGUUGGUGGGGUAGUGGCUUACCGAGGCUUUGACGGGUAGCCGGCCUGAGAGGGUGACCGGCCACAUUGGGACUGAGAUACGGCCGAGACUCCUACGGGCGGCAGCAGUGGGGAAUAUUUCACGAUGGGCGGAAGCCAGAUGCAGCAACGCCGGGUGCGGGAUGACGGCCUUCGGGUUGUAAACCGCUUUCGCCUGUGACGAAGCGUGAGUGACGGUAAUGGAUGAAGAAGCACCGGCUAACUACGUG
RNAcentral lists this ribosomal RNA (468 nucleotides) under uncultured bacterium. RNAcentral's name for it is "partial 16S ribosomal RNA". It matches the Rfam family "Bacterial small subunit ribosomal RNA", at positions 28 to 507 of the family's 1533-position model. The record is from RNAcentral.